Molecule: long non-coding RNA, 494 nt
Filed under: Apteryx owenii (little spotted kiwi)
Lineage: Eukaryota; Metazoa; Chordata; Aves; Apterygiformes; Apterygidae
Description: lncRNA (ENSAOWG00000003615.1)
Source: RNAcentral
GGCUUGGCAGGCCGGAACGGCACUGAUGGACAGAAGGGCAAGUUGGGGAGAAUUGGACCACCAGGCUGUAAGGGAGACCCUGGUGACAAGGGCCCUGAUGGCUACCCAGGAGAUGCAGGAAACCAAGGACAAAAAGGAGAUGAAGGUGCAAAGGGAGAUCCCGGCCGGCCUGGUCGCAGUGGACCUCCAGGACCUCCAGGGGAAAAAGGGAGCCCGGGUCUUCCAGGCAAUGCUGGAGCCCAAGGACCUCCUGGAAGCAAGGGAGGAAAAGGCGAAGCAGGACCUCCUGGACCCAAAGGAGAGCCUGGUCGACGUGGAGAUCCAGGAGUGAAAGGCAGUAAAGGGAGCCCUGGGGCCAAGGGAGAAAGGGGAGAUCCUGGUCCAGAGGGUCCUCGCGGCCUGCCCGGAGAGGUUGGAAGCAAAGGAGCAAGGGUAAGCAAGUAGUGGUUCACAGUAGCCGGUAGAGAGAUAGAGUGCUACUGCCCCAAGGACAG